AGGACGAACGCUGGCGGCGUGCUUAACACAUGCAAGUCGGACGAGGACCAGGGUGCUUGCACCUUGUAGCCGAGUGGCGAACGGGUGAGUAACACGUGACCAACCUAGCCUGGAGCGGGGGGCAACCUGGGGAAACCUGGGCUAAUACCGCAUACAGCCCCGUGGUCGUAUGGCCGUGGGAUGAAAGGAGGCCUCUGCUUGCAAGCUUUCGCUCGAGGGGGGGGUCGCGGCGUAUCAGCUAGUUGGUGGGGUAACGGCCUACCAAGGCGACGACGCGUAGCGGGUCUGAGAGGACGACCCGUCACAUUGGGACUGAGAUACGGCCCAGACUCCUACGGGAGGCAGCAGUGGGGAAUAUUGCGCAAUGGCCGAAAGGCUGACGCAGCGACGCCGCGUGUGGGAGGAAGCCCUUCGGGGUGUAAACCACUGUCAGAGGGGAAGAACUUCGGAUUUCUGAAUAAGGAGUCCGAUUGACGGUACCUUCAGAGGAAGCGCCGGCUAACUCCGUGCCAGCAGCCGCGGUAAGACGGAGGGCGCAAGCGUUGUUCGGAAUUACUGGGCGUAAAGCGCACGCAGGCGGUCCCUUAAGUCCUCUGUGAAAUUCCGGGGCUCAACCCCGGAGGUGCAGGGGAAACUGAGGGACUAGAGACCGGUAGAGGCUAGCGGAAUUCCUGGUGUAGCGGUGGAAUGCGUAGAUAUCAGGAGGAACACCGGUGGCGAAGGCGGCUAGCUGGGCCGGUUCUGACGCUCAUGUGCGAAAGCGUGGGGAGCAAACAGGAUUAGAUACCCUGGUAGUCCACGCCGUAAACGAUGGGCACUAGAUGCCGGGCCUUUCGACAGGUUCGGUGUCGUAGCUAACGCAUUAAGUGCCCCGCCUGGGGAGUACGGUCGCAAGGCUG
RNAcentral lists this ribosomal RNA (899 nucleotides) under uncultured bacterium. RNAcentral describes it as "bacterial SSU rRNA". It matches the Rfam family "Bacterial small subunit ribosomal RNA", at positions 26 to 896 of the family's 1533-position model. The record is from RNAcentral.